RNAcentral lists this ribosomal RNA (442 nucleotides) under uncultured bacterium. RNAcentral describes it as "partial 16S ribosomal RNA". It matches the Rfam family "Bacterial small subunit ribosomal RNA", at positions 338 to 795 of the family's 1533-position model. The record is from RNAcentral.
CCUACGGGAGGCAGCAGUGGGGGAUAUUGCACAAUGGGGGCAACCCUGAUGCAGCGACGCCGCGUGAGUGAAGAAGUCUUUCGGUAUGUAAAGCUCUAUCAGCAGGGAAGAAGAAAUGACGGUACCUGAGUAAGAAGCACCGGCUAAAUACGUGCCAGCAGCCGCGGUAAUACGUAUGGUGCAAGCGUUAUGCGGAUUUACUGGGUGUAAAGGGAGCGCAGGCGGCAUGGUAAGCCUGUUGUGAAAGUCAGCGGCUCAACCGUGGAACUGCAUUUGGAACUAGCAGGCUGGAGUGCAGGAGAGGUAGGCGGAAUUCCUAGUGUAGCGGUGAAAUGCGUAGAUAUUAGGAGGAACACCAGUGGCGAAGGCGGCUUACUGGACGGUGACUGACGCUGAGGCUCGAAAGCGUGGGGAGCAAACAGGAUUAGAUACCCUAGUAGUC